GUGGAGGAGGAGGGAAAAGUUGGAACAAAAGUGAGUGCAAGGGAUAACGUUGUAAAAAAUUACCCAGACAAGGGCUCUGGCAAUAAAAAGUUAUAAUAACAACAACAACAACAGCAAUAAUAAUAAAAAAAAAAAAAAAGAACCGCCCUCAGAGAACUGAAAAUUUCCUCUCUGAAGAUUAGAUCUGAACAUCCUGUCAAACCCUGAAGCCGCUGCAGUGGGCGCUGCAUCCAGCACAGCUCAUUGGCUCUGAGCGGGCUUCGUUUUCGAAAGAGGAAAUGGUUAAGUGAAGACAGAGACACAGACAGAGACACAGGCACAGAGACAGAGACACAGAGAAAGACAGAAACAGAGAGAGACAAGAGAGAAAGAGAGACACAGAGAGAGACACAGAGAGAGACAGAGAGAGAGACAGAGACAGAGAGAUAAAAAGAGACAUACAGAGAAACAAAAAGACCACAAGAGAGAGACAGAGACAGCUAGACAGAUAAAGAGACAGAGACACACACAGAGAGAUAGAGAAAGAAGAUACUCAGAGAUACUGAGCAGGUGGCUGCCAGGGUCCAAUGGCCAGGGGUUUUUCCACCUUUGGGCAUCAGAGAGAAGGCAGGCCUGCAGCAGGAUGCUGAAGAGAGUGGUCAGAGCUCUCCCACAGGCAGUAGUGGACAGGGUCAGCCCCAGUUUACAAUGUAGCCAGGCUUGACCUGGAAACAGGCUUAUUUCAAACUUAUCAGAAAGUCCAUCGUGAACAGGCUCCCAGGGUCGAACUGCAUGGCCCCAGAUCCAGAGCUGGAAGGUGCUUGCGAGUUCAUCCAGUCUCCCCUCCAUUUUCCAGAAGAGGAAACUGAGGCACAAAGAUGUUCUCAUAGGCAGAAAGGAGCAGAGCUGAUACGUGGAUUAAAGUCCUCUUGCCCAUGGACAGGGCUCUAUCCACUGCACUACCUGAUCACUCCACUCAAAACCAGGGCAAUCCAGUGAGAGUCAGAGACUUCCCUUCCUCCCAGGGUCCGGGGGGCAUUCUUGGCUUGGCUGGGCACCAGGGAGU
RNAcentral lists this long non-coding RNA (1045 nucleotides) under Sarcophilus harrisii (Tasmanian devil). RNAcentral describes it as "lncRNA (ENSSHAG00000030892.1)". The record is from RNAcentral. Lineage: Eukaryota; Metazoa; Chordata; Mammalia; Dasyuromorphia; Dasyuridae.